AGUGAACGCUGGCGGUAGGCCUAACACAUGCAAGUCGAACGGCAGCACAGGAGAGCUUGCUCUCUGGGUGGCGAGUGGCGGACGGGUGAGGAAUACAUCGGAAUCUACUUUUUCGUGGGGGAUAACGUAGGGAAACUUCCGCUAAUACCGCCUACGACCUACGGGUGAAAGCAGGGGACCUUCGGGCCUUGCGCGAUUGAAUGACCCGAUGUCGGAUUAGCUAGUUGGCGGGGUAAAGGCCCACCAAGGCGACGAUCCGUAGCUGGUCUGAGAGGAUGAUCAGCCACACUGGAACUGAGACACGGUCCAGACUCCUACGGGAGGCAGCAGUGGGGAAUAUUGGACAAUGGGCGCAAGCCUGAUCCAGCCAUACCGCGUGGGUGAAGAAGGCCUUCGGGUUGUAAAGCCCUUUUGUUGGGAAAGAAAUCCAGCUGGCUAAUACCCGGUUGGGAUGACGGUACCCAAAGAAUAAGCACCGGCUAACUUCGUGCCAGCCGCCGCGGUAA
This 506-nucleotide ribosomal RNA is filed under the name uncultured bacterium. RNAcentral describes it as "partial 16S ribosomal RNA". It matches the Rfam family "Bacterial small subunit ribosomal RNA", at positions 29 to 523 of the family's 1533-position model. The record is from RNAcentral.